GGAACCCGGCCGACAGAAGAUGGCGGAUGAGCAGCGUGCAGGGUUUUCUCCCUGUGGCUCACUCUCUCUUACUGUGCUGGGCGGUUGCUUCCUCUCCUGCUGCCCUUGGGAGUCAGACUCCAGGUUCUUCAGCCUGUGGCCCCUGGGGCUCUCGGGCCUUGGAGGACUGACUAGGAGCACACGGUGGGCCUCUCUGGUUUGGGGGCCUGGGACGUGGCGGAGCCCUGCAGCUUCUGUGCGGCCUGUUCUGGGCGUCGCGUUGAAACGCCAGCCAGUUCCCCAACUCUAUCCAACGCUGAAAUUUAGGACUCAGCAGUACAGGCACUCCAGCUCUGUCCACACCCAUGCCAACAGCUCCCUUGAUCUAUGGAUCGGAUGGACGUAGAACUACUCUAGGAAAUUCCUCAAACACUGCCAAGUACUUCAUGGCUGAAAGCCAAAUAUUCAGUCCCCCUGGGAUUACAGGAGUGUUGAAGAAAUGUUGUGACACAUCAGAACACCGCGAAAUACAUGGACACUUUCAAAUCAUGGAAGACUCAAGAGUCCUUGUUUUUGCCCAGUAUUAUAAACUGAGUUACAUAAAGGCAGAGCAAAUGCUAAAGCAAACUGUCCAGAAGGAAGGACAGCAGUAAGUGGAGAGACGUUAUUGCAAACAAGCACCUGGCAACAGCUGUGUUAGUUGCCCACCAGGUAUUUUUGAAAAAAGUACUCUGUGAAAAACAGAAACUGCAAGCAAGACAGAUACCAGGAUUAGGGAUCACGGUGACUUCUACCAUCGCUGGAUACUCCCAAAAGGGUUCUCGAGACAGCAGCUGUGUCUGCCCUGCUUUGGCAUUCUUUCCCAGGCAUGGCGACCAAGAAACUUUAAUUAGAAGGAAACAGGAAUAUUCAACGGACUCCCAAGACAAGAAUAUAGAUGUAUAUCAGAAGCUGAGCAUUGAAGUUGCUACUAGAGUCUCCCCGAGCCCUUAUUGGAUUCUCACUUCAGGAGCUGCUUUCAUUAUUUUGCCUCUCAGUUUCAAAAUAGACAAAGAACUCAACACUCAACAAUAAGAAAAUGAACAACUUGGUUGAAAAAUGGGCCAAAGACCUUAACAGACACCUCACCAAAGAUGAUAGACAGGUAGGAAAUAAACAUAUAAAAAGAUGCUGCACGUCAGAUGUCAUCAGAAAAGUGCAAUUAAAACAACAAUGAGACACCACUAUGCAUCUCCUAGAAUGACCAAAACCCAGAACACUGACACCAAAUACUCUUGAGGAUGUGGAGCAAUUCUCAUUGCUGAUGGGAAUGCAAAAUGGUACAGUCUUUUGGAAGACAGCUUGGAGGUUUCUUAUAAAGCUAAACUUGGAUUUACCAUACCAUCUACCAGCAGUGCUCCUUGGUAUUUACCCAGUGGAGCUGAAAAUGUAUGUCCCCACAGAAAAACAGGCACGUGGACGCUUACAGAAGUUUUACACAUAAUUUCCAAGACUUGGAAGCAACCAAGAUGUCCUUCAGUCGGUGAAUGGAAGAAUAAACUGUGGAACAAUCAGACCAUGGAAUAUUAUUCAGUGCUGAAUAGAAAUGAGCUAAGAAAGCCAUAAAAAAA
Homo sapiens (human) is the source of this 1589-nucleotide long non-coding RNA. Ensembl annotates it as long intergenic non-protein coding RNA 1446. The record is from Ensembl. NCBI's taxonomy places the organism in Eukaryota, Metazoa, Chordata, Mammalia, Primates, Hominidae.